Molecule: long non-coding RNA, 2826 nt
Filed under: Homo sapiens (human)
Lineage: Eukaryota; Metazoa; Chordata; Mammalia; Primates; Hominidae
Description: non-protein coding lnc-PDGFA-17:23
Source: RNAcentral
GGAAGACAAUGGGGGAGGACCCUGAGGCGGCCUCUGUGAGCCGACAGGAACACGUGGUCGAUCAGAGAGAGACUCGAGGUUCGUGAACGGAUGGGGAGGACCCUGAAAAGCACUGUGGAAUACAGGUUUCUAGUAACUUCAAAAUCACAUCAUUUGGACUGGGUAAGAAUUGCUGAAACUUUAAUGAAAAGACUGACUGGCUUAUAAAACUGCUAACCCAAAUAGAAUAAAAAUUAAUUGAAUACCGAGGAAAUGCUUCACCAGGUUUGCAUACUUAAUCAGCCUAUACUGAAAUUGUUUAGAUAUACAAUUUGAAUGAACUCCAUGGUCUAAGUCAAAUUACCUGUGAUAACCCAUCAGUUAUCCAUGCUAUGUGCCCAAUUUGGAGAAACAACUGGCACCCAAGAGGACAUAAGUCCGAUGUUAAGCAUGGACUCAUGGAGAACCAAGAUGGCUGCCUUGUCCUUCGUGAGUCCUUAAAGCUUUUGUUAUUAAAAGUUAUGCAUUCCAUGACUCAUCCUGGAAAAGAUAAAAUGAUCCAAAUUAAAUAUGUUGGUGUGGUGACUUACAGAUUGUUAAAAUAGUUUAUAAACAAUGUUUAGUUUGUCAAACCCAUACUCCUGGGAAGUCAAUCAAAGCUUCAUGUACAUUUGGCUACCUGAUGAGGCAUUUAAACAUUUAUAAAGGGGUUUCAUUCAGUUGUCAUUUUCAAUGUAUGUGUUCUGGUUGUACUAAAGCUUUCCCAUGCAGGAGGGCUAAUGUUAUAACAGUAGAUUACUAUGUAUCAGUGUAUUUUCACCAGGUAAAGAGCUUUUUAUGGUUCACUGAGGACAAUCAACCCCUUCACAAUCUAGAACCCAAAGAUGGGAUCUUCUGAGAACAUCAGAGAAACGCUGCCCUUGGCAUCAUCACUGCAACAAAACAUCAGGAUCUUGAACCUUGGGGUCAUAAUCUCACAACUGAGCAGGGUCACUCUUGGAACUCUACAUCCAUUGAAACCCUUAAGGUAAAGCUAAUCAGGGAAGUUUCUCCCCAGAAGAAGAUGGCAUCCUUGAUGUGAGCAGCUCUUUCUGAAGAUCAUGGAUCAAGACUUCUUACUAUCAUGAGACUCUUAUCUUUGAAUGUUUUUCCGUUGCUUCCGCCUCUGUGAACAACAGAAGUGAGAAGGGGGUCUGUUUUGUGCACUUAUGGGGUAUACUUUUAUUUGUGAAGGGCUUUGCAGCCAGCUUUAUACAUGGAUAAUCUUAUAACUUGAUAGAUAAAGAUGAAGGCCCAGUGUAUCAUAGGUGAGAAACUUCAAUGGUACAUAUGGUGCCUCAUAAUCAUUCAGAAGCAGAACAUUGGUUCACUCCUCUUAACCCACAGCAUGGGUUAAAGAGACCAUUGCCAAGAGGCCUUCCCUCUUCUAGAAGGGCAUCAUUUGUUAGGUCCUUUUUCCAUGGUUUGGAAUUAAAAAGGCAAUGACUAGAAACAUAUCCCUCAUGGUAGACUCUGUAGCAGAUUCUACUGUAAAGGCUACACAACAGAUGUUAAAUUCUCUUGUGAAAGUUAUGCUAAAAAAUAGAAUUGGCUAAACAGGAAAGUACCUGUGCAGAUGCUGGCACUUAAGGCCUAUGGAGAAAACAUCAGGUGUUAUAGAGAGUCUGUUGUAGGGAAUUAACGAAAAGACCACUGAGUUAAGUCAAAGAAUGGUCUAUUUGAGUUUAGGUGGUCUGGUUUAUGGGGACCCUGGCUAAGGAGCAUACUCCAAAUUCUUGGUGUUAACCCUCUCAGUAGUCAUAAGAAUAGUCUCCCUGGUGCACUGUAUUCUCUCAAAGGUUUUAAAUGUUUGCAUGAAGCCAUCUUUAGAACGUCAGAUGGUCUCUCUUCAACUGGAAUGACAAGAGCUGAAAGAAAUGUGUGACCACGAGGACACCGAAACCGAUGAGUGACAUGCUGAGACUGGAAAUCCAAAAUGAUAGUAACGGAGAGUGGCGCUAACAUCCUAAGUUUUGGUCACACUCUUGCCUAAGUGACAACCUGACAAAGGGGGAAUUUUUUAAACAAAAUGAUGGGAGGCCAUUGUUUUGGACUGAGCACUAGGUCCCAACAGACCAAACCGAACCAAAAUGGCAUCAUUCGUGCUAAAUGUGACAUAAUCGAAUUAAGACUUUAAGGAAACACAUGGGUCCUAGAAUAGACCAGGUUUUGUUUUUCUCUUGCAAACAGGACUUUCCAGCAUAAGGUGGUAUCCUCAACUCAGUCCUUGUUCCUACCUUUGCAAAACUCACUGUUCUGCUUCCUAGUGGGUUUCAAGACCAAUGGUGACAGUGACAUCAAUAACUCAAGUUUCGAUCAAUCUCUCAAAACUGAUAAAAUGACCAAAAAGGGGGAAUUGUUAAAGCGAACUAAAUAUGGCCUGAGAAGGACUCCGUACUUCUGUAUUGGAGUCCCUGUGAACAAACUGAGCCUAACUUAAUAGGUAGACAAGAUUGAAAACCUAAAUUAGGAGUAUGUACCUGUCACAAUUGCUGAGUCUCGGCCAGUCCCAGCAGCCGUACUUCAAUCACUCAUACACUGCUGAAUGUUCAAACUGUGUGUAAAUAAGGCAAAUGCCAACCUGUAACUAAUCCAGGUGUUUCUCUACCUCACUUCCCUUUUUUUGUCUAUAAAUCUUCCACCACGUGGCUGCACUGGAGUCUCUCUGAAUCUGCUGUAAUUCUGGGGGCUGCCCGAUGUGCAAAUCAUUCAUUGCUCAAUUAAACUCCUUUAAAUUUAAUUCAGCUGAAGUUUUCUUUUAACAAGAGUGAGAUAAGAAUCUGUGUUCUUAUCCCCCAGAAUGGACAA